AAAAAAAGGAAGGAACUGCUGCUAUCAGAGUGAAGAAAUGUGAGGUCACCCUUUGCGGGAACAGGAGGCGAGCCGGAGGAAGUUCCUUUUCCUCUCUCCAGCCUCGCCGUCUCAGCAGAGCGAAACAGGGGAGCCCCUGGCAAGCAAAUGUUGGAAGGUUCCCAGCCCAGCGUCACAGCAGAGCAGAGAGGCCAACAUCCUUGGCAGAGCUGUGAGCCAACAGCCAGCCCCAGCCUGCCAGCCGUGUGAGCAAGCAGUCUUGGAAGGUGAUUCUACAGCCCCAGCUGAAACACUCCAACUGAUGCCAUGUGAGCCGAGAAGAGCAGCCAAACUGAGCCCUUCUCAAAUCCCUGAUCCUCCAAAUCUCCUCCUGAAAAGCAUGCAGCCGGCAGAAGAUCUGGAUACCACAGAGACUGAGAUUCUACAUGUGUUCAGAGACCGGAGUCCCUACCACAGAACCUGUGACCUGUGCUUCUAGGGUCUUCAAAGUCAAUAAAAAUCAGCAGGGUCUCGGCUCACUGUAGCCUCAACCUCCCAGGCUCAGGCAAUCCUCCCACCUCAGCCUCCCAAGUAGCUGGGACCACAGGCACGCACCACCACGCCCAGCUAAUUUUUGUAUUUUACUGUGGAGACGGUUUCUCACCAUGUUGCCCAGGCUCAUGUGACUAAUUUCUGAUUCAGACACAGGGUGCUGGGAUCACAGGCAUGAGCCACCGCGCGCUGCCCACGGUGUCCUACUUAACAAGGCAUCUGGCCCAGCCAUCAUUGGAAAUCCACCUGGCUUCAGAAACAGGGUCUCACCGUGGCCCAGGCCGAGUGCAGCGGAGCCGUCAUAGCACACUGAAGCCUUGAACUCCUGGGCACAUGCGAUCCUCCCACUUCAUUGUUCCAAAGUGCUGAGAUUACAGAUGUGAGCCUGACUGGGAAUAUAAAAUGGUAUAUAACCUCUGUGGAAGACAGUAUGACAAUUCCCAAAAAGUUAAACAUAGAUUCAACAUAUGAUCCAACAAUUCCUCAUUUAGGUCUAUACCUCAAAGAAUUGAAAGCAGGGAUUCAAACAGAUAGAUAGCUAUACACCCAUGCUCAUAGCAGCAUUAUUCAUGAGGGUCAAAAAGUGAAAACAACCCAAGUGUUUAUCAACAGGUGAAUAAAUAAGCAAAAUGUGUUGUAUUCACACAAUGGAAAGUUAUGCAGCCUUAAAAAGAAAGGAAAUUGGCUGAGCAUGGUGGCGCAUGCCUGUAAUCCCAGCACUUUGGGAGGCUGAGUUGGGUGGAUCACCUGAGGUCAAGAGUUCGAGACCAGCCUAGCCAACAUGGUGAAACUCCCAUCUCUACUAAAAAAUACAAAAAUCAGCUGGGCGUAGUGGCAGGUACCUGUAAUCCCAGCUAAUCGCUGGAACUGGGGAGGCGG
This 1410-nucleotide long non-coding RNA is filed under the name Homo sapiens (human). RNAcentral's name for it is "HSALNT0305149". The record is from RNAcentral. Lineage: Eukaryota; Metazoa; Chordata; Mammalia; Primates; Hominidae.